UACGAGAGGCCCAAACGUUAUUCGGAUUUACUGGGCUUAAAGAGUCCGUAGGCGGCGCAGAAAGUGGGGUGUGAAAGCCCUCGGCUUAACCGAGGAAUUGCGCUCCAAACUACUGUGCUUGAGGAAUCUAGAGGUGAGCGGAACUGAUGGUGGAGCGGUGAAAUGCGUUGAUAUCAUCAGGAACACCGGAGGCGAAGGCGGCUCACUGGGGAUUUUCUGACGCUGAGGGACGAAAGCCAGGGGAGCGAACAGG
RNAcentral lists this ribosomal RNA (253 nucleotides) under uncultured bacterium. Its description in RNAcentral is "partial 16S ribosomal RNA". It matches the Rfam family "Bacterial small subunit ribosomal RNA", at positions 524 to 776 of the family's 1533-position model. The record is from RNAcentral.